Molecule: ribosomal RNA, 253 nt
Filed under: uncultured bacterium
Lineage: Bacteria
Description: partial 16S ribosomal RNA
Rfam family: Bacterial small subunit ribosomal RNA
Source: RNAcentral
UACGUAGGGGGCGAGCGUUGUCCGGAAUUAUUGGGCGUAAAGAGCGUGUAGGCGGUUCGGUAAGUCUGCCGUGAAAACCUGGGGCUCAACCCUGGGCGUGCGGUGGAUACUGCCGGGCUAGAGGAUGGUAGAGGCGAGUGGAAUUCCCGGUGUAGCGGUGAAAUGCGCAGAUAUCGGGAGGAACACCAGUAGCGAAGGCGGCUCGCUGGGCCAUUCCUGACGCUGAGGAACGAAAGCUAGGGGAGCAAACGGG